AUUGAACGCUGGCGGCAGGCUUAACACAUGCAAGUCGAGCGGGGGAAGGUAGCUUGCUACCGGACCUAGCGGCGGACGGGUGAGUAAUGCUUAGGAAUCUGCCUAUUAGUGGGGGACAACAUCUCGAAAGGGAUGCUAAUACCGCAUACGUCCUACGGGAGAAAGCAGGGGAUCUUCGGACCUUGCGCUAAUAGAUGAGCCUAAGUCGGAUUAGCUAGUUGGUGGGGUAAAGGCCUACCAAGGCGACGAUCUGUAGCGGGUCUGAGAGGAUGAUCCGCCACACUGGGACUGGGGCACGGCCCAGACUCCUACGGGAGGCAGCAGUGGGGAAUAUUGGACAAUGGGGGGAACCCUGAUCCAGCCAUGCCGCGUGUGUGAAGAAGGCAUUAUGGUUGUAAAGCACUUUAAGCGAGGAGGAGGCUACUUUAGUUAAUACCUAGAGAUAGUGGACGUUACUCGCAGAAUAAGCACCGGCUAACUCUGUGCCAGCCGCCGCGGUAA
This 501-nucleotide ribosomal RNA is filed under the name uncultured bacterium. RNAcentral's name for it is "partial 16S ribosomal RNA". It matches the Rfam family "Bacterial small subunit ribosomal RNA", at positions 30 to 523 of the family's 1533-position model. The record is from RNAcentral.